AUGCAAGUCGAGCGCUCUCUUCGGAGGGAGCGGCGGACGGGUUAGUAACGCGUGGGAAUAUGCCCUUCACUACGGAAUAGCCUCGGGAAACUGAGAGUAAUACCGUAUACGCCCUUCGGGGGAAAGAUUUAUCGGUGAAGGAUUAGCCCGCGUUGGAUUAGGUAGUUGGUGGGUAAUGGCCUACCAAGCCGACGAUCCAUAGCUGGUUUGAGAGGAUGAUCAGCAACACUGGGACUGAGACACGGCCCAGACUCCUACGGGAGGCAGCAGUGGGGAAUCUUAGACAAUGGGGGAAACCCUGAUCCAGCCAUGCCGCGUGAGUGGCGAAGGCCCUAGGGUCGUAAAGCUCUUUCGCCAGGGAAGAUAAUGACGGUACCUGGUAAAGAAACCCCGGCUAACUCCGUGCCAGCAGCCGCGGUAAUACGGAGGGGGUUAGCGUUGUUCGGAAUUACUGGGCGUAAAGCGCGCGUAGGCGGACUAGUUAGUCAGAGGUGAAAUCCCAGGGCUCAACCCUGGAACUGCCUUUGAUACUGCUAGUCUUGAGUUCGAGAGAGGUGAGUGGAAUUCCGAGUGUAAAGGUGAAAUUCGUA
Molecule: ribosomal RNA, 590 nt
Filed under: uncultured bacterium
Lineage: Bacteria
Description: bacterial SSU rRNA
Rfam family: Bacterial small subunit ribosomal RNA
Source: RNAcentral